UACGGGGGGGGCAAGCGUUGUUCGGAAUUACUGGGCGUAAAGGGCUCGUAGGUGGCCAACUAAGUCAGACGUGAAAUCCCCAGGCUCAACUUGGGAACUGCGUCUGAUACUGGAUGGCUUGAAUUCGGGAGAGGGAUGCAGAAUUCCAGGUGUAGCGGUGAAAUGCGUAGAUAUCUGGAGGAAUACCGGUGGCGAAGGCGGCUUCCUGGACCGACACUGACGCUGAGGCGCGAAAGCUAGGGGAGCAAACGGG
RNAcentral lists this ribosomal RNA (253 nucleotides) under uncultured bacterium. Its description in RNAcentral is "partial 16S ribosomal RNA". It matches the Rfam family "Bacterial small subunit ribosomal RNA", at positions 524 to 776 of the family's 1533-position model. The record is from RNAcentral.